GGACCAGUAGAUGAGAAAAAACAAAAUAAUAAUAAUAAUAAAAAAAAAAAAAGCAAAACUCAUUAUUGCACAAAACUACUACAAGAUCGACGGUCGCCAAUCCAUCGAUCAAGCACCAGGCUUCAACUACUUAUAUACACUGCUUUUAACACGUCAACAACAACGACAACAGCAACAAAAAAUUUUAUUUGUUACAGAGGGAUUAAAAGGAUGGAACCACGAAUCCGUAGAUACUGCCUCGAUCUGCUUCUACUUCAAUAUCUAUUCGCUUCGCGAAUCUUCCUUUGAUUCUUGGCCUCGUCUCGGCAUAAGCUUUUCGCGAUGCGUAUCUGAUUGUCUUCUCGAACUUUCGGUUCUUCCUUUUCUCUCUGUACCUUAACACCCUUGCUUCCCU
RNAcentral lists this unclassified non-coding RNA (394 nucleotides) under Hevea brasiliensis (rubber tree). Lineage: Eukaryota; Viridiplantae; Streptophyta; Magnoliopsida; Malpighiales; Euphorbiaceae. The record is from RNAcentral.